Molecule: non-coding RNA, 93 nt
Organism: Mycena polygramma
Lineage: Eukaryota; Fungi; Basidiomycota; Agaricomycetes; Agaricales; Mycenaceae
Source: the annotation of a GenBank genome assembly
GCAUCAGUGGUGUAGCGGUAACAUUGGGUCUUCCCAUUGGAAUUUAAAGCCCAAAAAUUGGCCUAGCUCCGGGUUCGACUCCCGGCUGAUGCA